UGGGGAAUUUUUGACAAUGGGGGAAACCCUGAUCCAGCCAUCCCGCGUGUGCGAUGAAGGCCUUCGGGUUGUAAAGCACUCUUGGCAGGCAAGAAACGUCAUGGGUUAAUACCCCGUGAAACUGACGGUACCUGCAGAAUAAGCACCGGCUAACUACGUGCCCGCAGCCGCGGUAAUACGUAGGGUGCAAGCGUUAAUCGGAAUUACUGGGCGUAAAGCGUGCGCAGGCGGUUCGGAAAGAAAGAUGUGAAAUCCCAGAGCUAAACUUUGGAACUGCAUUUUUAACUACCGGGCUAGAGUGUGUCAGAGAGAAGUAGAAUUCCGCGUGUAGCAGUGAAAUGCGUAGAUAUGCGGAGGAACACCGAUGGCGAAGGCAGCCUCCUGGGAUAACACUGACGAUCAUGCACGAAAGCGUGGGGAGCAAACAGG
Molecule: ribosomal RNA, 429 nt
Filed under: Acidobacteriota bacterium
Lineage: Bacteria; Pseudomonadati; Acidobacteriota
Description: Acidobacteria bacterium partial 16S ribosomal RNA
Rfam family: Bacterial small subunit ribosomal RNA
Source: RNAcentral